Molecule: ribosomal RNA, 530 nt
Filed under: Armstrongula sp.
Lineage: Eukaryota; Metazoa; Arthropoda; Insecta; Hemiptera; Reduviidae
Description: partial large subunit ribosomal RNA
Rfam family: Eukaryotic large subunit ribosomal RNA
Source: RNAcentral
AAAACCCAAAGGCGUAAUGAAAGUAAAAGGGCGGAUAUUUGUACACUUGUGUUCAAUUUCCCCCGAGGAAAGAUGGAAAGAUUGUUAUUAACAAUUAUGGUUACGGCUAUAUUUUGUUAUUAAUAAAGAUUUCCCGCAUUCCCGGGGCGCUUGUUUCUUGCUUGCAAGUCAAUGCGCACCUAGAGCGUACACGCUGAUACCCGAAAGAUGGUGAACUAUGCCUGGCCAGGACGAAGCCAGGGGAAACCCUGGUGGAGGUCCGCAGCGAUUCUGACGUGCAAAUCGAUCGUCGGAGCUGGGUAUAGGGGCGAAAGACCAAUCGAACCAUCUAGUAGCUGGUUCCCUCUGAAGUUUCCCUCAGGAUAGCUUGCGCUCGGUUGAGAAGAGUCUCAUCCGGUAGAGCGAAUGAUUAGAGGCAUUGGGGUCGAAACGACCUCAACCUAUUCUCAAACUCCAAAUAGAUGAGACCCCCGGCUUUCUUAAAAUUGAAGCCGUGGGAUUUUGAAUCAGAGUGCCAAGUGGGCCAAUUU